UGAGCAAUCUGCCCUUCUCAUCGGAAUAAGCGUUGGAAACGACGUCUAAUGCCGAAUACGACCUCCUUUCGCGUGAUCGGAGGUGGAAAGCUCCGGCGGAGAAGGAUGAGCUCGCGGCCUAUCAGCUAGUUGGUGUGGGUAAUGGCCCACCAAGGCGACGACGGGUAGCCGGCCUGAGAGGGUGACCGGCCACACUGGGACUGAGACACGGCCCAGACUCCGUACGGGAGGNAGCG
RNAcentral lists this ribosomal RNA (236 nucleotides) under uncultured bacterium. RNAcentral describes it as "partial 16S ribosomal RNA". It matches the Rfam family "Bacterial small subunit ribosomal RNA", at positions 118 to 353 of the family's 1533-position model. The record is from RNAcentral.